GCCUAGCUGGCUCUGUUGGUAGAGUGUGUGAUUGUUGAUCCCAGGAUGAUGAGUUCAAGCCCUAUGUUGGGCA
RNAcentral lists this transfer RNA (73 nucleotides) under Canis lupus familiaris (dog). It matches the Rfam family "tRNA". From Rfam's summary of the family: Transfer RNA (tRNA) molecules are approximately 80 nucleotides in length. Their secondary structure includes four short double-helical elements and three loops (D, anti-codon, and T loops). Further hydrogen bonds mediate the characteristic L-shaped molecular structure. tRNAs have two regions of fundamental functional importance: the anti-codon, which is responsible for specific mRNA codon recognition, and the 3' end, to which the tRNAs corresponding amino acid is attached (by aminoacyl-tRNA synthetases). tRNAs cope with the degeneracy of the genetic code in two manners: having more than one tRNA (with a specific anti-codon) for a particular amino acid; and 'wobble' base-pairing, i.e. permitting non-standard base-pairing at the 3rd anti-codon position. RNAcentral also lists the same sequence under 3 other names. The record is from Rfam by way of RNAcentral. Lineage: Eukaryota; Metazoa; Chordata; Mammalia; Carnivora; Canidae.